This 376-nucleotide ribosomal RNA is filed under the name Klebsiella pneumoniae. RNAcentral describes it as "partial 23S ribosomal RNA". It matches the Rfam family "Bacterial large subunit ribosomal RNA", at positions 487 to 867 of the family's 2925-position model. Lineage: Bacteria; Pseudomonadati; Pseudomonadota; Gammaproteobacteria; Enterobacterales; Enterobacteriaceae. RNAcentral also lists the same sequence under 1 other name. The record is from RNAcentral.
AUAGUGAACCAGUACCGUGAGGGAAAGGCGAAAAGAACCCCGGCGAGGGGAGUGAAAAAGAACCUGAAACCGUGUACGUACAAGCAGUGGGAGCACCUUCGGGUGUGACUGCGUACCUUUUGUAUAAUGGGUCAGCGACUUAUAUUCUGUAGCAAGGUUAACCGUAUAGGGGAGCCGCAGGGAAACCGAGUCUUAACUGGGCGUUAAGUUGCAGGGUAUAGACCCGAAACCCGGUGAUCUAGCCAUGGGCAGGUUGAAGGUUGGGUAACACUAACUGGAGGACCGAACCGACUAAUGUUGAAAAAUUAGCGGAUGACUUGUGGCUGGGGGUGAAAGGCCAAUCAAACCGGGAGAUAGCUGGUUCUCCCCGAAAGCU